Molecule: ribosomal RNA, 497 nt
Filed under: uncultured bacterium
Lineage: Bacteria
Description: partial 16S ribosomal RNA
Rfam family: Bacterial small subunit ribosomal RNA
Source: RNAcentral
GAUGAACGCUGGCGGCGUUCCUAAUACAUGCAAGUCGAGCGAACAGACGAGGAGCUUGCUCCUCUGACGUUAGCGGCGGACGGGUGAGUAACACGUGGAUAACCUACCUAUAAGACUGGGAUAACUUCGGGAAACCGGAGCUAAUACCGGAUAAUAUAUUGAACCGCAUGGUUCAAUAGUGAAAGACGGUUUUGCUGUCACUUAUAGAUGGAUCCGCGCCGCAUUAGCUAGUUGGUAAGGUAACGGCUUACCAAGGCAACGAUGCGUAGCCGACCUGAGAGGGUGAUCGGCCACACUGGAACUGAGACACGGUCCAGACUCCUACGGGAGGCAGCAGUAGGGAAUCUUCCGCAAUGGGCGAAAGCCUGACUGAGCAACGCCGCGUGAGUGAUGAAGGUCUUCGGAUCGUAAAACUCUGUUAUUAGGGAAGAACAAAUGUGUAAGUAACUAUGCACGUCUUGACGGUACCUAAUCAGAAAGCCACGGCUAACUACGUG